UACGUAGGGUGCAAGCGUUACUCGGAAUUACUGGGCGUAAAGCGUGCGUAGGUGGUUUGUUAAGUCUGAUGUGAAAGCCCUGGGCUCAACCUGGGAAUGGCAUUGGAUACUGGCGAGCUAGAGUGCGGUAGAGGGGUGUGGAAUUCCCGGUGUAGCAGUGAAAUGCGUAGAUAUCGGGAGGAACAUCUGUGGCGAAGGCGACACCCUGGACCAGCACUGACACUGAGGCACGAAAGCGUGGGGAGCAAACAGG
Molecule: ribosomal RNA, 253 nt
Filed under: uncultured bacterium
Lineage: Bacteria
Description: partial 16S ribosomal RNA
Rfam family: Bacterial small subunit ribosomal RNA
Source: RNAcentral